UUUUUUUUAGGGUUUUUUUUUUUGUUUGUUUCUCUCUUUUUGACCCUCCAGUCUGUAAAAAUCUAAGAUGUUUGUUUUAUUUAUUUUUUUGUUGUUGUUUUGUUUCUUUUUGACCCUCCAGUCUCUGUGAAAAUCUGAGAUCUGUACUUGUCAUGGUUUUUUGUGUCCUGUUAUUCUGUACGAGGUUUUUAUGCCUCCCUUUGGCUGCACAUGUAUGUCUCUGCUUUUCCCCUAAACAUGACGGAGGUGUCGAGCCGUGGCGUUGGAUGUGCUGACCACCACCAGGUCCUGGGAGGAUCUGAUGCUGCCCCACUUCGAUGAGCUGCUCCUCCAUCCAGACUGGGAAGUUUUUAAGAGUCACCGUCAAGCUGAAGGUUUCUGAAGUUCUCUUUUAAUGAUUUUGAGAAACUUUUCAAAGUUCUUGUAGUUGUUUUCACCGAGGUCCAAACACUCCAGCUUUUCUGGGGGUUUGUAGACGCCUAAGAGAAAAUUGAUUUUAAAUCUGUCUGUUGAAUCUUUUAAGUCUGUUUCCAAUGUAGUGACCCAUCUUUCUGCUUCUCCAAAAUCUAUCUUGUGUUGUUACAGUCUACAUCCAAGAAGACCCUGGCAGACCCCAUCACCUGCUGGACUCUGAGCUCCUGCAUACUGGGUUACAGGUGAGCAUGGAGUACAGAUUCCACCACCUACAAAAAAAAACUGGUACAGCAGUUUUAUUUGAUGCAUCCAGAUUUCCUAACCCCUGCCAAUUUUAAUCUCUCCCAAACACCAGUGCUUUGCCCUCUUUGAGGGACGGAUCUUCUUCAUUCUGGACCCCUUUAACUGAAGUCUGCACCAGCACAGAAACCUGCCUCUGGACACCAUCAGACUCUACCAGAUGCCGUGGGCACCAUCCCAGAGAAACCGGUACAUAAAACAGAGAAUGAUUCACUUAUAGGUUAAAAACUGUGCCGGUCUAAAGAAUAAAUUUGUCCUUUUGUUUUAGGACUACACCGAGACGUCGAUGACCCUCUCUUGCUCCAGGAACCGGCUGAAGAAUGAAGACAAAGACUUGGUCCCCUGUUUAGAGGUAAGUCAAUCUUUGCAAGUGGUCUUGCUUAUUUCAGUCAAAGUUUUAUGGUGAUAAAUUGAUGUUAACAGUCCACUAACUGGAUCUGAUCCCUGUCUGCCUUCUGUAGUCACCACCCUGCAGGCGGACUUCCUGUCUCACUGUGAGCCCGUAGACCUUCAACCUCGUCCAGAAAACCCUUACUCAGGACAUGGUGAGUGCGCCUUUCUCUUUCAGGCUCUACUUUGAGGAGCACACAUGGGCAGCUUUCUUAAAUCCUUCUAACAGAUGAGUCCGUUAAGAUGAUGAUAGUUGGAUGUUUUUACUCGAUGGGCAUAGAUAAACCCCCACAACCCAUGAAGAGUGCAAGCUUUGCUGUGUCACUGUCACUUUAUAGAUCUCCUCCACCUUUAUAUCGCUGACAUUAUCAGUAUUAUUGACAUUAUAGGAUUAUCACUGAGACCUUUUCUGACUGAUAGAAAACUAAAUGAAAACGAGGCAGAAUAUUCACUCAUGACAGUUUUCUUCAUUUACAGGAGGAUACUCGAGUCUCGACUGAGGACCCAGUGAUGAAGAUGGAUGACCUGUCUGUGACACAAGGGUCAUAGAGGAUAGUUCUGUACUGAUGAAUCUAUUAUAAAUUAUUCAUCUGUUUGACCAGAUGAUGUGUUGUUAAACUUGCUAACAUUUGAGUUUCUUUGGUGCAAACCUGUAAGAUCUACAGCUAGUAGAGUCUUCUUACAAUUGUAACCAGGUGGUUUUUGUGUUGUACUGAAUUUGCUUUCUCAUUAUAUUUGUAAAACUAAAUGUUUAAUCUGAGCUUCAUUUAUGGCUUAAACUUUGUUAAAUGGAGGCUGAAACUGUGACAGCAUGUAGAGAGCUUUUUAUCCACUGGGGUUUUUUUUCCUUCAAUAUUUUUCCCCAGCUGGUUUUUCAUCUCUACCUCCACCAAACUCACUCUGUACACAAAGCUUGUCUUAAAUGUCAUCUUUUUGGAUGCACAUAUUCUAUUUUGCUCAUAUUGCUUUGUCUUUAUUUUGUUCAUUUUUCUGUCAUGCUUUAUUCCUCUCUCUGCUCCGUGUUUUUUUGCAUUUGUAUUACACAUAUAACUAACUUUUCACAUAAUUUGUCUGAGUCAAUAACUCUCUGACAGUGAAAUACCGUGAUUGUGUUUGGUAAAACUUGUCAACUUGACUCUGUUUUUAAAUAAAGUUUUGUUUAAAUGGAAUCAAAAACUUUUCUCUGGAGGUCAGUUUUUUAUUUUGAUAACAUGCACAGUAGGUUAGAAAGUUUUAAAAUCAGAC
Molecule: long non-coding RNA, 2349 nt
Filed under: Xyrichtys novacula (pearly razorfish)
Lineage: Eukaryota; Metazoa; Chordata; Actinopteri; Labriformes; Labridae
Source: RNAcentral